CAUCCGCUCUUUUAAUGUGUUUAAUCGAGAUACUUCAUUGUGAGAGUUUUGAAUGCAAAUUCAAAACUCUCACUAACGUACUCCAAAAGGCUUGGACAGGAAAGAGUCCAAAAGGCUUGGACAGGAAAGAGUCCAAAAGGCUUGGACAGGAAAGAGUCCAAAAGGCUUGGACAGGAAAGAGUCCAAAAGGCUUGGACAGAUUUGUGUCCAAAAGGCUUGGACAGAUUUGUGUCCAAAAGGCUUGGACAGAGAGGGUCCAAAGUACUUAAGGAGGUUUGAAUCUUAAACUGUAAGUUUAAGAUUUAUGGAUAAUCGAACGAAGUAAUAUUAAAAGUAGAUCUUUUAAACAGAAAGUUUAAGAGGUGUACAUAAAUUAAUAAGCUUUUGGUAAAAAGCUUAUAAAGAUUAGACAUAUUAAGAGAGCGGAUG
This 429-nucleotide ribosomal RNA is filed under the name Taylorella asinigenitalis. RNAcentral's name for it is "partial 23S rRNA". The record is from RNAcentral. Lineage: Bacteria; Pseudomonadati; Pseudomonadota; Betaproteobacteria; Burkholderiales; Alcaligenaceae.